GGAUCCUUCACUUUUGGAGGACAUGAUUUCUUCAACAAGACACUGCAACUACCUUGUUCAUCAAUAGUUUCCUCAUCUAGAUAUAUCUUUUCUUUGAGGAACUGCUUCAUACGCUUUGCAUAGGAAGGAAUUUGCUCCAGUACUUUAGUCAACGAUAUAACAAUCUCCAAUUGAUUGAAGAUCUCUCUAAAACGCUCACAUUGUCUCUUUUUAUCUACUCUCUCACAUGCCUUUGGAUAAGGAUGAAUUUUUUCAUUUUUCUCACUUUUUUUCUCUCCCAUCUUCUUCCCUUCCUUUUUCAUCUCACCCUCACAUAUUUUCUCAUCUUUUUCCUCUCUCUUCUCUAACUCAACACUCUCUUUUUCCUUUUUCACUUUCUCCUUAACUACACUAUGGCCUUGCACUCUUCCUUAGGGUUAACCUCAGUAUUAGCCCCAAACUGCUUUUCUGCUUUCUCCUCCAUCCUCCAGUUGGCCAACCUACAUCUCCAGAU
This 493-nucleotide long non-coding RNA is filed under the name Vigna radiata. RNAcentral describes it as "long non-coding RNA (VRAD_LNC008741)". Lineage: Eukaryota; Viridiplantae; Streptophyta; Magnoliopsida; Fabales; Fabaceae. The record is from RNAcentral.